This is a non-coding RNA of Cinara cedri, 401 nucleotides long. The record is from the annotation of a GenBank genome assembly. NCBI's taxonomy places the organism in Eukaryota, Metazoa, Arthropoda, Insecta, Hemiptera, Aphididae.
ACAACUACUUAUCACUCAGAGGAUAUCUACUACCAUAGAAAUUGGACUUGGAGAUUGAACAUUCAAAUUAUUUAUUUGUUGGAAUGUAUGUAUUGAACGUUUCUAAUUGGUGGUUUUAAUUCAUUUAUUAUACAAUAUUCAGGAUUGAUUCAAUAUCUAUACAUAAUGCAUAUAGGUAAAUAAGAUCCAGUUACUUCAGCAAUAUGGUUAUAGUUAAAUUGCAUAAUCAACAUAAAUAUUGGAAAUCUGUCCAUGUACUGGCAGCAAGCAUGAACUCAAUAACGACAAGACAAAUUGGUGCAGACAUUGAAAUUAAAUCUCAGAUUGGUAUUUUGAAGUAUUUAUAUUCUUAAUUUGCAUUAGUUGAAAGGUACGUAUAAGAAGUUAUAGUUUAAGUAGUU